RNAcentral lists this long non-coding RNA (2185 nucleotides) under Homo sapiens (human). RNAcentral's name for it is "HSALNT0364252". Lineage: Eukaryota; Metazoa; Chordata; Mammalia; Primates; Hominidae. The record is from RNAcentral.
GGAAGGAAAUUCCCAGCCCCCCCCCUUUUUUUUUUUUCUGUGUGAGGGAGUGGGGGCAGGUGAGGAGGAGGGACACAGGGACACAGCUGGCUAUUGGUCAAAGUUAAAACCAACAUUCCUGACAGUGGAGUUCUGAGCUCUGCACAAGCUCUUCAGGAUGUGUUCCUGGACUAAGUGCCAAGGACUACUCCUGGGACUAAGAAAACUCCAGUGGGCUGUCCUCAUCACAUCAGACUCCCAUGGAUGUCAUGUAUCUUAUCUAAAGCCAGAGCAAGGCACAUGGGAUCAGGACCCACAGAGGCACGAAGGACACUUCCAUCCCUUCCUCUCCCUCUUCUCCAACAGUCCACACCAAGUCCCACUUGAAGGAAAAGACAUACCAGAUGACUGGGGUAUUCAAAAGAGGUUUAGAUCGUAGGAGAAGGUAACUCAGCCUCCUCCAACUUAGAAAAUGUCUACAGAAAGCCUGACAAGGGAGAAAGAACCAAAAGAAGGCCAGAAAGAUACCUAAUGGAUUCUUCUUUCUCCAUAGUGACCUGAUGGAGACAGCCAUUCCACUCAGCCUCAUCCAAGGACAUGGGGACACAACAAGGGACCUCACGAGAUCGCUUUACAGACCAGUGAGAUACAAAGUCCUCUUCCAAAACCCUUCAGGUCACUUAGACACAGAAUCUAUACCAAAGUCCCCACAAUUCAGACCCCUAAUCUCCUUUCCCAGCGGCCUCUGGUCUUUCCACCAAAGGAUAUUUCAAAAAGUGUACCCAUAACUCUCUCCAAACUCCAUGAGGGAGGGUUUUGAAGAUGGCUUUCUAGAGUGCUGGUCUUCAAACUGAGCUCCUUCAGUCUCUAGAGGUCACAAGAGAAACCUCAGUGUCUCCACGUAAGCAAUGGGGAGGCCAAACGGGAUGGAUAGGCUCCUGAUCCCCAGUCCCAAGUCAACCACAGCAGUCUAUCUGUUUUAUAUUUUGGGCUUUUGGGUAAAAUUUUAUCUGCAAAAAGCCUCCAAUGCCAGAAAAACUAUUUUUAAACCUUUGAGCUGGAGGAUGCAUCUCAGUAUCCCUAUUGCAUCCUCACACUCAGGCAGACUUUGAGGGAGGUGGUACAUGGCAGAGGGUGGGAAUGGGCACUGGGCACACAAGUUCCAGGUACCUCACUAACAUUAUUAAAGGUCCGGAUAAGGAUAUAGCCUGUCUCAGUUUAUAGCAACUAUGAAGAAAUGGUUGUCUUGAUAAAAAAAAUUUACUGUUACCUUCUCCCAGUAAAAUAAAACUCAGACCUUCCAAAAUUUGGCCUGGAAGGAGAAUCUCCAGGUAAAGAAUGUGAAUUAGACCUAGAAACACUUUUUUCUGUUCCUCUGGGUUCCAUGUAUCAUUUUCCUCUUUGGAUUUUCUCAAUUGCUCAGUGUUUCUACUCUGCAGCAUUCCCCCACUAUGCCUGACAGGAGAAGUGCUGUUCCUCAGCAUCUAUCUGUCUUCAAACAUCUUUCCAUUUCCUCCUAAAAUGGCAACAAGUCACCUCCACAGAUUCCUCAGCUGAGAUAAGAUUGGAAUUUUCAAGAAACAAUUACAUAUUAAGGGGAAGUAAAAUGGAGGGGGAGUACAAAUCAUUUAAAUGAUGCAACUUUCAAGCACAUGGCUCUGAUCCACCUGAACUUUCAAGCAUGGGAGUCUUAUUCCACCUGAACUGAAUUAUUCCCCAGGGAUUUCACCCCUUCUCAUUUCAUGUGGGAUCCAUGAGUGGCUGUAAGCUAGCUAUCCAAAGGGCCAGAUCACCUCCAGAGCCUUUGCUUAAGCCCUCACUUCAAAACUCCCAUCCUGUUGCCACCCCCGCCCCCAGGAACUUGACUCUUUCCAUGGACAAAACCAAAAAUCAGUCAUCUCUUCUUCCUACCUAAGGUUGGUCCGGAGGCACAUUUCUUCUGCAGGGAUUGGCAAGGAAGAUUUCAGUCUUCAAGGUCUGUUGCUGGGCCUGGGCAAUGGAUGCGUUUUUCAGUAAUAAAGAGAAGAAUUUGAAGUUCCAACAGAUGAUUCAGGAAAUGAGGAAAGAUGACUAGGGGGUGGGUGCUACAUAAAGAAGGAAUUUGAAGACAGCAGGAAUAUCUCAAAAUGGACUUUGGCAUGACUGUUAUAAAUUCUUCCUCUAACUCCUCUACAGAAUCUUUAAUAAAGUCUACAAUGCUCUUUUG